Molecule: ribosomal RNA, 1052 nt
Filed under: Exophiala lapidea
Lineage: Eukaryota; Fungi; Ascomycota; Eurotiomycetes; Chaetothyriales; Herpotrichiellaceae
Description: SSU rRNA
Rfam family: Eukaryotic small subunit ribosomal RNA
Source: RNAcentral
UGUCUAAGUAUAAGCACUUAUACCGUGAAACUGCGAAUGGCUCAUUAAAUCAGUUAUCGUUUAUUUGAUAGUACCUUUACCUGGAUAACCGUGGUAAUUCUAGAGCUAAUACAUGCUAAAAACCCCGACUUCGGGAGGGGUGUAUUUAUUAGAUAAAAAACCAAUGCCCUUCGGGGCUCCUUGGUGAUUCAUAAUAACUUAACGAAUCGCAUGGCCUUGCGCCGGCGAUGGUUCAUUCAAAUUUCUGCCCUAUCAACUUUCGAUUGUAGGAUAGAGGCCUACAAUGGUCUUAACGGGUAACGGGGAAUUAGGGUUCUAUUCCGGAGAGGGAGCCUGAGAAACGGCUACCACAUCCAAGGAAGGCAGCAGGCGCGCAAAUUACCCAAUCCCGAUACGGGGAGGUAGUGACAAUAAAUACUGAUACGGGGCUCUUUCGGGUCUCGUAAUUGGAAUGAGUACAAUCUAAAUCCCUUAACGAGGAACAAUUGGAGGGCAAGUCUGGUGCCAGCAGCCGCGGUAAUUCCAGCUCCAAUAGCGUAUAUUAAAGUUGUUGCCGUUAAAAAGCUCGUAGUUGAACCUUGGCCCUGGCUGAUCUGUCCUCCUAAUCGAGCGCACGGAUUCGGUCGGGGCUUUCCUUCUGGGGAGCCCCAUGCCCUUCACUGGGUGUGGCGGGGAACCAGGACUUUUACCUUGAAAAAAUUAGAGUGUUCAAAGCAGGCCUUUGCUCGAAUACAUUAGCAUGGAAUAAUAGAAUAGGACAUCGGUUCUAUUUUGUUGGUUUCUAGGACCGCUGUAAUGAUUAAUAGGGACAGUCGGGGGCGUCAGUAUUCAAUUGUCAGAGGUGAAAUUCUUGGAUUUAUUGAAGACUAACUACUGCGAAAGCAUUCGCCAAGGAUGUUUUCAUUAAUCAGUGAACGAAAGUUAGGGGAUCGAAGACGAUCAGAUACCGUCGUAGUCUUAACCAUAAACUAUGCCGACUAGGGAUCGGACGGUGGUUUUUUAUGCCCCGUUCGGCACCUUACGAGAAAUCAAAGUUUUGGGCUCGGGGGGGA